Molecule: long non-coding RNA, 452 nt
Filed under: Homo sapiens (human)
Lineage: Eukaryota; Metazoa; Chordata; Mammalia; Primates; Hominidae
Description: HSALNT0130830
Source: RNAcentral
GGCGGCUGCGCUGGCUUAGAGCUGUUACUGUCAUUCUACAACUUUACAACAAUGCCCCAGACACAGAAAAGGUUGCGCCUUGGAACGAUUUCUGUUAUGGGAUAAUAAAAAUCCCGACGUCAGAGCUAAGGAAUGUGACCUUCCGCUGCUCCAGUUGUAACUCCCUGCUGUCCUCCUGCUUGAGCCUUUUAGGGUAAAGUUCAGCACAUAUCACCCUCGUCAACCGCGCCCCGUAAGGCAGCCACAGAGUCCUGUGCUGAUCCCAGGAAUAAGAUGGCAGCACUGCAGGAUUCCGGAGCCACCCACAGCACCGACUGCUGCUGGAGAUACACAAUCAUGGGCACUCGUGAAGCUGCAGAAACUCACGGGGACCCUGACACCAGCUGCUCCUUGGACAGAGGGAGGCCCGUCAUCUGGGUCUGAAGGAGGCUCCCAAGACUCUGACACAGAAC